This 253-nucleotide ribosomal RNA is filed under the name uncultured bacterium. RNAcentral's name for it is "partial 16S ribosomal RNA". It matches the Rfam family "Bacterial small subunit ribosomal RNA", at positions 524 to 776 of the family's 1533-position model. The record is from RNAcentral.
GACAGAGGGUGCAAACGUUGCUCGGAAUUACUGGGCGUAAAGCGCGUGUAGGCGGACUGGUGUGUCGGAUGUGAAAUCCCCAGGCUCAACCUGGGAACUGCAUUCGAAACUGCCAGCCUUGAGUGGUGGAGAGGGAAGUGGAAUUCCUGGUGUAGAGGUGAAAUUCGUAGAUAUCAGGAGGAACACCAGUGGCGAAGGCGGCUUCCUGGACACCAACUGACGCUGAGACGCGAAAGCAUGGGGAGCGAACAGG